UGGAACGCUGAAAAUAUACAUUUUGCUCUCUAAUUUAUAAUCAUCUAAAUUUACAACAUAAGUUCUCUGCAACAAACACUCAGGGCAGAAAGAAUGUGGUGUUUGACGUUUUGAAUGAAGUGACUUUUUGUCCCAAUAUGAAAAUAAAGGGCUCAUCAUAUAAACAAUCAUACCUCUUACCUAAGAGGAAAUGUGCACAAUAACUACUACUACCUACCAAAGGCAAUCCUCCAACCCGUGGAGUAAUAGAAGUCUACCUAAGACUUAACAAAAUACCAUGUCUACCAAAGACAUUAUCCUGUGAAAAUCCCCUUUAAAAAUUUUAAAUAGUGAAAAACCCCAUUACAAAUGCAAUGUGUGGGGGAUGGGAGAAGCAGGUAAAGAAGGACUUUAAAGAUCCCCUUACCUGUCAUCUCCGUUCCGUCCAACUGCACCCAAAAACUUCUGACACCAAUUUGUUGGGGAUAAAAUCAGCCUGGGCCCUUUGUGGAUGAUGGAUAUUUGCCAACUCAUACAGAGCUCUGGAAAUUGGAAAUGAAUAGCAGAGACGUGUUCAAUAACCAAUUCAAAUUGUAUUCAUACGUCAGUUAUAUUUAUAACCCAUUUUCAUAGCAGGAUGGGAGGGGGAAAAAUGACCAUAUGGGCGUGACAAUGACAUUGUUUUUCACAAGUUAUAAACAGCUGUUU
Pelobates cultripes (western spadefoot toad) is the source of this 687-nucleotide non-coding RNA. Lineage: Eukaryota; Metazoa; Chordata; Amphibia; Anura; Pelobatidae. The record is from the annotation of a GenBank genome assembly.